Equus quagga is the source of this 927-nucleotide long non-coding RNA. RefSeq lists it as uncharacterized. The record is from RefSeq and is a predicted model, not a curated record. The transcript is spliced from 3 exons. Lineage: Eukaryota; Metazoa; Chordata; Mammalia; Perissodactyla; Equidae.
GGAGUACCAGGUGCCACUCGGAAAAAUUUCAAGGACACAGAAAAAAGAGGACGCCAUUUCUGUGUCCCUGCUUCAGAUGCCUUGGUGAACUUCCCUACUUUCCCUUUAAAGUGGAAGCUACCACUCAGAAGUAGCUGACCUAAUAGAAUGGUGGAAUGGCCUAUAAAACAGUGGAACAGACGGCAGUUACAUCACCAGUUCAGAAAGAAAUCUCAUGGAAGUACAAAGUUUUACUUUGAAAGGUAGAACAACACCAAAUGAGAUACUCUAACCAGGAUCUCUUUCUGGAGUGAUAGCUAUGUAAUUUUAACUCUGUUGGAAACAAUUUCGACACAUCCAAGCUAAAUUCUUCUUCUUUUAUCUUUUUGAUAAUAGCCAUCCUAACAAGUAUGAGGUAAUAUCCCAUGGUGUUUUUGAUUUGCAUUUCCCUGACUAUUAGAAACGUUGAGCACCUUUUCAUAUACCUGUUGCCUAUUUGUAUCUUUUCUUUGAAAAAUUGUCUAUUCAUGUCCUUUGCCCAUCUUUUAACUGGGUUGUUUAUUUUUUCGUUAUUGAGUUGUAUGCAUUCCUUAAACAUUUUGGAUAAAACCCCUUAUCAGAUACAUGGUAUGCAAAUAUUUUCUUCCAAUCUGUAGGCUAUUUGUUCAAUGUUGCUUAUUCUUUUUCCCAUGCAUAAGCCUUAUAGUUUGAUGUAGUCUCACUUGUUUACUUUUGUUUUCGUGGCCUAAGUUUUUGAUGUCAUAUCCAAAAAAUCAUUGCCAAGGGCAUUAUGCUAAGUGAAAUAAACCAGAAACAAAAAGAAAACAAAAAUAUGCAUGAUCUCACUUAUCUGUGGAAUUUAAAAAGUUAAAUACAUAGAAGCAGAGAGUAGAAUCUGUUACCAGGGACGGACAGUUGGGGGAAAUGAGGAGAUGUUUGUCAAAGGGU